Solanum lycopersicum (tomato) is the source of this 577-nucleotide long non-coding RNA. RefSeq lists it as uncharacterized. Lineage: Eukaryota; Viridiplantae; Streptophyta; Magnoliopsida; Solanales; Solanaceae. The record is from RefSeq and is a predicted model, not a curated record.
AAUCUUUAACUUAAAAAUUAGGAAUUUUGACAAUUCGUAUCGUAGAUAUUUGAGAUAUGAAUAUAUAUAAAAUAAAUAUGUGGUAGGUAUCAUUGCAGAACAAAGCAUGAAGAUAAAAAGAUAAGGUAGAAGGAAUUGGUCACGUAAUUAUCUAACUAAGACUAGUUUGGAGGAAUUGUUGAUCACAUCGUUAUCUUAAUUAUUAGUCUGAAGGAAUGAUACGAAAUCAACAUUAUUAGUGAUGACUGGUGUUGAUACUCCACAAAAUUAUCCGACGAUUAUGAAUACUUUGCAUGAUCUAACAAUUUUUUAUUCAAAAUUGACAAGGAUGAUCUGCUCGUGUGUCAAUGGUGGGCUACAUGAAGAGAGUGGGGUUUGAGGUUGAAGUGGAGUUGGAGGCCUACUUUAGUGGCUGUAUUGCCCAUAUUAAAAUUCCCACGAUAAGACUUGUACCAUUCUUCUCUUACACGCAUAUUCAAUAUGAUUGCAACACUCAAUUUAAUGCAAUCAUAAAAGAUUAUGAAUUCGAUCAAAUUUAUAGCUUAAUUUUUACUUCUGCUUCUAAUUGAUUCUGUAA